GACGAACGCUGGCGGCAGGCUUAACACAUGCAAGUCGAGCGGCCCGGACGGGGUGCGGCAGGCGGGUGAGGUACGCGAGGGAACGUACACUCUGGUUUGGCACAACCCCGGGAAACUGGAGCCAACAGCGGACAGGGGCUAAUGCGGGAAGGGUGCUCGCCGAACGAUCGGGGCGCGUCAGAUUAGCUACGUGGUGGGGUAACGGCGCGCCAAGGCGACGAUCAGUAGCUGGGCUGAGAGGAUGAUCAGCCACACUGGGACUGAGACACGGCCCAGACUCCUACGGGAGGCAGCAGUGGGGAAUAUUGGACAAUGGGCGCAAGCCUGGUCCAGCCAUGCCGCGUGAGUGAUGAAGGCCUUAGGGUUGUAAAGCUCUUUUGUCCGGGAAGAUAAUGACUGUACCGGAAGAAUAAGCCCCGGCUAACUUCGUG
RNAcentral lists this ribosomal RNA (431 nucleotides) under uncultured bacterium. Its description in RNAcentral is "partial 16S ribosomal RNA". It matches the Rfam family "Bacterial small subunit ribosomal RNA", at positions 28 to 507 of the family's 1533-position model. The record is from RNAcentral.